GCAUAACGCGAAGAACCUUACCAGGCCUUGACAUGCAGAGAACUUUCCAGAGAUGGAUUGGUGCCUUCGGGAACUCUGACACAGGUGCUGCAUGGCUGUCGUCAGCUCGUGUCGUGAGAUGUUGGGUUAAGUCCCGUAACGAGCGCAACCCUUGUCCUUAGUUACCAGCACGUUAUGGUGGGCGACGUCUAAGGAGACUGCCGGUGACAAACCGGAGGAAGGUGGGGAGUGACGUCAAGUCAGUCAUGGCCCUUACGGCCUGGGCUACACACGUGCUACAAUGGUCGGUACAGAGGGUUGCCAAGCCGCGAGGUGGAGCUAAUCUCACAAAACCGAUCGUAGUCCGGAUCGCAGUCUGCAACUCGACUGCGUGAAGUCGGAAUCGCUAGUAAUCGCGAAUCAGAAUGUCGCCGGUGAAUACGUUCCCGGGUCUUGUACACACCGAGUCGUGGG
Molecule: ribosomal RNA, 453 nt
Filed under: uncultured bacterium
Lineage: Bacteria
Description: bacterial SSU rRNA
Rfam family: Bacterial small subunit ribosomal RNA
Source: RNAcentral